GACGAACGCUGACAGAAUGCUUAACACAUGCAAGUCAACUUGAAUUUGGGUUUUUAACUUAGAUUUGGGUGGCGGACGGGUGAGUAACGCGUAAAGAACUUGCCUCACAGCUAGGGACAACAUUUAGAAAUGAAUGCUAAUACCUGAUAUUAUGAUUUUAAGGCAUCUUAGAAUUAUGAAAGCUAUAUGCACUGUGAGAGAGCUUUGCGUCCCAUUAGCUAGCUGGAGAGGUAACGGCUCACCAAGGCGAUGAUGGGUAGCCGGCCUGAGAGGGUGAUCGGCCACAAGGGGACUGAGACACGGCCCUUACUCCUACGGGAGGCAGCGGUGGGGAAUAUUGGACAAUGGACCAAGAGUCUGAUCCAGCAAUUCUGUGUGCACGAUGAAGUUUUUCGGAAUGUAAAGUGCUUUCAGUUGGGAAGAAAAAAAUGACGGUACCAACAGAAGAAGUGACGGCUAAAUACGUGCCAGCAGCCGCGGUAAUACGUAUGUCACAAGCGUUAUCCGGAUUUAUUGGGCGUAAAGCGCGUCUAGGUGGUUAUGUAAGUCUGAUGUGAAAAUGCAGGGCUCAACUCUGUAUUGCGUUGGAAACUGUGUAACUAGAGUACUGGAGAGGUAAGCGGAACUACAAGUGUAGAGGUGAAAUUCGUAGAUAUUUGUAGGAAUGCCGAUGGGGAAGCCAGCUUACUGGACAGAUACUGACGCUGAAGCGCGAAAGCGUGGGUAGCAAACAGG
This 735-nucleotide ribosomal RNA is filed under the name uncultured Fusobacterium sp. RNAcentral's name for it is "bacterial SSU rRNA". It matches the Rfam family "Bacterial small subunit ribosomal RNA", at positions 28 to 776 of the family's 1533-position model. Lineage: Bacteria; Fusobacteriati; Fusobacteriota; Fusobacteriia; Fusobacteriales; Fusobacteriaceae. The record is from RNAcentral.